Long non-coding RNA from Gordionus sp. m RMFG-2023, 527 nucleotides. RefSeq lists it as uncharacterized. The transcript is spliced from 3 exons. The record is from RefSeq and is a predicted model, not a curated record. Lineage: Eukaryota; Metazoa; Nematomorpha; Gordioida; Chordodea; Parachordodidae.
AAUAGAUGAUUCUCAAAUAGCUGGCCAUUCUCAAAGAAACGAAGGGGUCAUAUAUUAAGCUAUUUCAAAUAAUAGUGGAAUAUAGCACAUUAAAUGGUAUCCAUUUUUUGCCAGAGGAGCAAUAUCUGCUCAAUUUGUAUUUCCGAAUAUUUUAAUAAAGGCCGUUUGACAUAAAGUUCAGCAUUUAGUCUUGGUAAAACAAUAUAAAGAAAGAAGAGUCUACUGUGUACACUAUUGUUCGAAGGAUGAGCAUACUUCCUCUAUGCAAGAGAGAAGACAUUGAAGUAGUCGGUGAUUAUUGCUUAGAUUUAGCAGGUGCCAUGAUAACAAGGACCACGCAUUAACAAUCAUCUAGAGGGAUAUCACCAUUCCCUUAAGCAAUUGAAAAAAAACCCCACCCCCACAUAUAUUUAUUAAUUUGGAUUUUAAAAGAUAAUCAACACCUAACUCAACUUAAAGUAAUACAAAUUAAUAAUGGAGAAAUCGUGACCGAGAGAAACAAAAAAUAUGUUAUAAUUAAUAAAAAA